RNAcentral lists this transfer-messenger RNA (389 nucleotides) under Alphaproteobacteria bacterium. It matches the Rfam family "Alphaproteobacteria transfer-messenger RNA". From Rfam's summary of the family: Bacterial tmRNA, also known as 10Sa RNA or SsrA, is named for its dual tRNA and mRNA-like properties. Its role is to liberate the mRNA from a stalled ribosome. Lineage: Bacteria; Pseudomonadati; Pseudomonadota; Alphaproteobacteria. The record is from RNAcentral.
UUACUACCCUUUUUUGAAAAACCAUGUUAUACUAAGGAUGUUAGGUAAGACUAACUAUGGCGAUAAACGCGUUAUGGAAUAAGCGUUGCGGACCCGGGGGCGGUACCCGGCACCUCCACCAAAAACAAAGAGUUUACACGGACAAACAAUGUGAGUCAGUGUUUUUCAUGGGGGUGAAACAGGAUCGACGUGCGUAAUAAAGAUGAUGUUUUUGCUCGGCAUGAUACCACCGUUAUCGGAUCAAGACAUAUAAAUGUCGCACAUAAACUACAAAACAACAGACCUCAAGUAGCAGGUUCGCCUGCUGUUGCAUUGGCUGCUUAAUGCGCCAAAGCUCUCUUGAGCGAUGUUAGCGGUACGGGGGCACCGGGCAACAGAACGCCCCCACU